GACGAACGCUGGCGGCGUGCUUAACACAUGCAAGUCGAGCGGUAAGGCCUUUCUUGGUACACGAGCGGCGAACGGGUGAGUAACACGUGGGUGAUCUGCCCUGCACUUCGGGAUAAGCCUGUGAAACUGGGUCUAAUACCGCAUAUUACCUCCUAUCGCAUGGUGGGUGGUGGAAAGAUUUAUCGGUGUAGGAUGGGCCCGCGGCCUAUCAGCUUGUUGGUGGGGUAAUGGCCUACCCAGGCGACGACGGGUGUCCGACCUGAGAGGGUGACCGGCCACAAUGGGACUGAGACACGGACCAGACUCCUACGGGAGGCAGCAGGGGGGAAUAUUGCACAAUGGGCGAAAGCCUGAUGCAGAGACGCCGCGUGAGGGAUGAAGGCCUUCGGGUGGUAAACGUCUGUCAGCAGGGACGAAGCGCAAGUGACGGUACCUGCAGAAGAAGCACCGGCUAACUACGUG
RNAcentral lists this ribosomal RNA (462 nucleotides) under uncultured bacterium. RNAcentral's name for it is "partial 16S ribosomal RNA". It matches the Rfam family "Bacterial small subunit ribosomal RNA", at positions 28 to 507 of the family's 1533-position model. The record is from RNAcentral.